Non-coding RNA from Taeniopygia guttata (zebra finch), 385 nucleotides. The record is from RefSeq and is a predicted model, not a curated record. Lineage: Eukaryota; Metazoa; Chordata; Aves; Passeriformes; Estrildidae.
ACCAAGAUGCCACCAGGAGGGGACGCGGGUUUGGGGUCAGAAUCGAUAAAUUUGGGGCCGUUUCCGGAAUUUCCUUUAUUGACAAACGCGGAGUCGGGCGGGGGAGGGGCGGAGUGUUCGGCCACGCCCACCGGGGGGAGCAGCCAAUGGGAGCAGGGGACGGGGGAAAGGGCCAAUCAGGGGCCGCGAAGGGGGAGGGGUCAAGGGGAGGUUGGAAAAGGUCAACGCAACCAAAGGUCAACCAAAGGUCAACCAAAGGUCAACCAAAGGUCAACCAAAGGUCAAUCAAACCCAACCAAAGGUCAACCAAAGGUCAACCCAACCAAAGGUCAACCAAAGGUCAACCAAAGUCAACCAAAAUCAACCCAAUCCAACUAAAGGUCAA